GCGUGAACGGCGGGUGCCAAGGGCGCGACCGGGGGUUGCGGACAAAAGGGCUCGGGCAACGCGUCGAGGGCAGCCAUGCUGGGCGCCGGCAUUGGUGCGAUGAACGCGGGCCGUGGCGACAGGGGGCGCAUGGCGUCGAGGCACUGGUGGAUGGCGGCCAUCUUGGAGCCGCCGCUCAUGGGCGGCGCGCGCCACGACCCGCCACUGUAGUUGCCGUGCAUCGCCGCAAGCGGGGGCGUCGACGGACCAGAGCCAAGGAUCUCGCGGUGGUGGCGCGGUCGGCCAGUAUUUCCGAGCCAGAAACUGCGCGCGCCUGCGACAGACACGCACAAAAAGGAAAUCAAGAGAGCGAGGAAAAAAGAAGGGAGAAAAAGGGUCACCGCUGGACGCAGCCGCUUGCGAGGGGGGGAGGGCGGCGGGACCUUUUUCCCUUUGUCGCCUCACGAGGCGCGCCCCAACCGGCGACCGCAAGCCGACAGACGCCCUCUCAUUGCCCUGAAGAAGAAGAAGAAGGGAGAAAAAAAGGGCGACCACAGAGGGCGGUCGAACCGCCAGGACGGAAUUGAGAGAGAAAAAAAGGCGGCGCCCCCUCCCCCAAAAGGUCGUCGCCAUGUGGUUG
RNAcentral lists this long non-coding RNA (619 nucleotides) under Pandoravirus dulcis. RNAcentral's name for it is "putative ncRNA". The record is from RNAcentral.